AAGACAGCCUAGAGCUUCUAGAUGGAAAUGCAACAUUCCAGCCCUCUGACAGUGAGAUUUGAGGCACACAGACCUGGGCAUCUGAAAUGAGGAAACUGAAGCUCAGAGAAGUAUUUUUACAUCCACAGCUGUCUCGAAUACCAAGAGCCCCCGCCUUGGGGCGUUGAUGCCUGCCUCCUCCUCAGCUCGGGUCUCAUUGCUACCUUAUCUCCUCCUGGCUCCUUGACUCAGGUCCCGGCUCAAACGUCGCCUCUGCAGGGAGAUCUUCCCAGACGAGGGUGUCUAAAGCAGCGCCCCCAGCACCUGCCACAGCCUCUCCACUUUGCUGUUCUGAUAGCACUCACAGCCCCUGACUUUCUCCUGUCUCUUCCCGGAGGCGAGGGCUUCACAGGGGUAGGGACUUUGUUUGCCUGUUUUUUUCAUUUUAUUCCCAGUUUCUGUAACAGUUCC
Molecule: non-coding RNA, 450 nt
Organism: Kogia breviceps (pygmy sperm whale)
Lineage: Eukaryota; Metazoa; Chordata; Mammalia; Artiodactyla; Physeteridae
Source: RefSeq, a predicted model, not a curated record